ACAAUAGUAGAGAUCGGGUAACUAUUAGAAAACAACGUUGACAUAAUCAGAAAAGAACAUAAGAAAAGCGAAUUUCUAUUAUUGUUACGGUCUCGUCAUAUAACUUUGGUUUCCUAGAUAAGAUUUAAUAAGAUUAUCCAUCGGAUCGAGAAGCAUCUUCGGCUAGUAUAUUCCACCCACGCUGCGAUGAUAGUUGAGUUGGGCGUGUUGGGCAUAGUCAUAACUCUGGUCGUACCAUUCGGCCGUUGUGCUUGCGGUAUUCGCGGUAUUCGAGGAAUGGGUACCAUGAGCUGCGUGCGCGGCAUGUUGAUGGCUUGUCACGUGACUCGACGAAUAUUCACUACCUUGAAAAUGAUUGAACUGUCCCCAAGAACCUGGAUUUGAUGAAACAUUUAUCAAGGUACCAGCAUUAGGAGUCAAAGAUGUGGGAGCAGCAUGAGCAACCGGAGGUUGAAUGGAUGGCACUUGACUGAUUUGCAUGCUAUUCAUAUGUCCAGAGAGGGAAGUCAGGUGUUCCGAAAUAGAGACAGCAUGUCCUUGUAAAGUGUUCGUCGUAGGGAUUGGAGCCAUCGACGUGGUCAUCUGGGAAACACUUCCAACAACUUGGUGUACGGUAUUCGGUGUUUGGUGCAGAGCCGUCGGACUAUGAUGCAAACUCGUUGGUACUUGAGGUAUUUCGCUUGACAUUUGAGGUAUUUGAGCGAUUUGAGCCAACUCGUGACUCGCUGCAGCGUAUUGACAGGGCGUUAGGGGUAAACUUGGUACAGAAUGUGCUAUGCUUCCUGCGUGUUUACGAAGACGAGCUCUUCGAUUGCUGAACCAGACCUAGAAGAUGGACGUUGAGGCGGGUGACGCUUUUUGAAGAUGAUGAUAAGUAUAAAUAAUCUUCUGCUGAUUUUUGUUACUUAAUUGUGUUUCAAUCUUUUUGUUUACAAAUAUUAUUGAGAACAAUCUCAAAGAAAAAUAAAUAACUCACUUGAAUCCUAGCUUCUGUUAGACCAGUUCUCUGAGCCAAUUCUUCUCUAGCAUAAACAUCUGGAUACUGAGCACGUUGAAAAGCAGCCUCGAGUUGCUCAAGUUGUUCUCCAGUGAACGUUGUUCUACUUCUACGUUGUUUUCGUUUCAGAGGUGUAUGUGUGCCACAGUCAUUAAGGUAUCCAUAAAGUUCUCGUAAAAUAACCGUCCAACAUGCCAUUUUGUUCGACGUCGUCAAGACGCCAUUUUGUCGAGUGUUUCAAAGCUAUCAGCAGACUAUUGAUUCUUACGUGUGGAGAUCUAAACAAGUGGAUAAAGAGGGUCUGAUCUUUGAGCAAGGACUUAGCCUGUACCGUAGCUAACGUUGAAUCCUUCUUGAGCCUAUCAAGAACCUUUUAACAUCGGCUUGGGUUUGCGAAUUCGCACUGAUCAAUGUAUUGAUGUUUAUUUGUGCGAUGAGCAGCUCGUGCGUUCUUAUUUUCUUUUUUAAUAAAAGAAUGGACAGAAGAAAAAAAAAUAUAUAUAUAUAUAUAUAUAUAUAUAUAUAUAUAUAUGUAUAUAGGAAAAGUAAGAAAAACUCGAGCUUCAUCGUGACCACCGACGCAAUGUUUGCUCUUAAAGUGAACUUCAUUGUCCAAAUUUUUCUUAUUAUCGUUCAAUCGAGCAUCUAUGAGCUCAUUGUGUAAGAGAAAAUAUACGAGGAUUGGAUAAUGUCGGUAUAAGCUCAGAUGUGCCUCCACAGUUCAAUAUUAUUCCCUCUUCUUUUCAUUCAUGGCAUUAUCUCGGAUCAUCUUUAAAAUGGAAUUGUUACUUACGCCUGAUUUCAUAACGAAUAACAAGAAUGGUAACUUGAGAAACGUCAAGGAGACCGGCAAAAUAAAACGAGUAUCAAGAUCACUUUGUUCGAAAUUUAUUCGAGUGUUUAAACGAUGGUUAAUUCAACUUUUUCUUUUUUUUUUGCAACUAG
Molecule: long non-coding RNA, 1942 nt
Organism: Vespa mandarinia (Asian giant hornet)
Lineage: Eukaryota; Metazoa; Arthropoda; Insecta; Hymenoptera; Vespidae
Source: RefSeq, a predicted model, not a curated record